AUGGAGCCCAAUGCAGGGCUCAAACUCACAAUCGUGAGAUCAAGACUUGACUCCAGAUCAAGAAUCAGAGGCUCAACCUACUGAACCACCCAGACACGCCCAGAAAAGCUGAAUCUUGAACAGAGCCUUGAAGAAAGUGCACCCAGCAGCUAUCCUCAAGGCCUUGCAGAAAGCACAGUCCCACUUUGGGGCCCCCUCACUGCUUCUGACACAUUCAGAGCCGUGUGAGAUCACACAAAGCCAUCAGGAAUACCUGCAGUUCCCAACCUGGAGAACUGAAAACAUUCCCCAGCAUGCUGCCAGCGUGAAGAAGCUCUGUAAUUACAGACAUGCAGGGGUUUGUGUUCCUGACCUCACUCAUCGAUGAAACGCUUCCGUCCCCUUCACUUCCCACGGUGUCUUUAUCAAGGAAGCGGGAAGCUGGGCCCAUCAGAAAAGCUGAGGGUAACUAGAGGAAGCUGAGAAUUCCUCUGCUCUGCUCUGCUCUGCUCUGCCUCGGCAGGAAGAGGGGACAGGAGGAGGGGAAAUGGGAAGGCCAGUGGCUCUCAUUCCAAAGGAGGAAAUGUUCCAGCUCCUCAAAUAAGCCAGCUCCAGAACUCGCCAGCUCCCACCCAGGUCCACUCCAGUUUGGAAACUCCAUGGCUGCUUCCACAGCAGGAACAAAGAUGGACCUCUAUCCUGCUGGUGAGGCCUGCCUCCUGGGGCAGAAGGUACCUACUGUCGCCUCUGGCAGGACCCAGACCCAGGAGCCUCCCAGAGGCCUCCCUCUUCACCAGUGCCCCGGGCGGGCCUCGCCUAGAGCCUCCCACCUUCCCGCACAGUCUCCCCUCCUCAUGCAAGAUGCCGGCUGCUGAGAUGGGAGGGAUAAACAAACUGUGGCUCUGGCCCAGCCCUCUGCCGGCUGGCUGCUCCCCGCCCCCCUCAAUCCGCAGUGCACAGUCGCUCUGUUCUCCUGCCAACUUGGCAGCUCGUCUCUGCUGUUACUAUCAACACCUCCCAGGGAAGAGGGAGAGGAGUGAGUUCUGAUCGCCUGGCACACCGAGCAGCAAAUUCGUGUCAGAGCCAGCCCCAGAAUGUCUCCCAAGCUCCCAAGGCUCCUGGUGGGGAAGGAAAGGUGGGCCUGAGCAGAGAAGCCCCCACUGCAAGCCAGGCUCCAGCAGAGUGCCUGGGUCUGGCCAAAGCUGCAGCCCCCAGGAGCAGGCAGCUCUGAGAGAAGGGACCGCCAGGCCGGGCAGGUGCACAGGAAGGGGUUCUGUCUCACCCCGGCACUUGCCACAGUCCAAGGCCAUGAAGCCCUGGAGUGCGUGGACUGUACCUCCUUUCUUCCAUCUUUCUUGGACUCAUGCAGAGCUCUUGCCCUCCCUGUCAGAUUGGAUUGGGAGACCCAAAGGGGCCACAUUUUACCCCCAAAUGGAAACUUCUCGCAGACAGAAACCAUAUUUCCUUUUCCCAACCCUCUUCCCCAGGCUCUUACACCCUGCCUAGUUGGCUCCAUAAAGCAGCUGAUGGAGCUGCUGUCAGCUCCUGCUGGACUCCUGGGGCCCAGUUAGGAAGAAGAAAGAACCCAUAUUUCCAGGGGCCCAGUGCUCCACCUCAAGCAAGGUCC
Molecule: long non-coding RNA, 1606 nt
Organism: Leopardus geoffroyi (Geoffroy's cat)
Lineage: Eukaryota; Metazoa; Chordata; Mammalia; Carnivora; Felidae
Exons: 5
Source: RefSeq, a predicted model, not a curated record